UACGAAGGGGGCUAGCGUUGUUCGGAAUCACUGGGCGUAAAGGGCGCGUAGGCGGAUCGUUAAGUCGGGGGUGAAAUCCUGGAGCUCAACUCCAGAACUGCCUUCGAUACUGGCGAUCUUGAGUCCGGAAGAGGUGAGUGGAACUCCUAGUGUAGAGGUGGAAUUCGUAGAUAUUAGGAAGAACACCAGUGGCGAAGGCGGCUCACUGGUCCGGUACUGACGCUGAGGUGCGAAAGCGUGGGGAGCAAACAGG
RNAcentral lists this ribosomal RNA (253 nucleotides) under uncultured bacterium. Its description in RNAcentral is "partial 16S ribosomal RNA". It matches the Rfam family "Bacterial small subunit ribosomal RNA", at positions 524 to 776 of the family's 1533-position model. The record is from RNAcentral.